GACGAACGCUGGCGGCGUGCUUAACACAUGCAAGUCGAACGAUGAAGCUGGAGCUUGCUCCGGUGGAUUAGUGGCGAACGGGUGAGUAACACGUGAGAAAUCUGCCCUUGACUCUGGGAUAACUGCGGGAAACUGUAGCUAAUACCGGAUAUUUUCCUUGGUGGGCAUCCACUGGGGAAGAAAGAAUUUCGGUCAAGGAUGAUCUCGCGGCCUAUCAGCUAGUUGGUGAGGUAAUGGCUCACCAAGGCGACGACGGGUAGCCGGCCUGAGAGGGUGACCGGCCACACUGGGACUGAGACACGGCCCAGACUCCUACGGGAGGCAGCAGUGGGGAAUAUUGCACAAUGGGCGCAAGCCUGAUGCAGCAACGCCGCGUGAGGGAUGAAGGCCUUCGGGUUGUAAACCGCUGUCGGGAGGGACGAAGCUCUGACGGUACCUCCAAAGGAAGCACCGGCUAACUCUGUGCCAGCCGACGCCGUAA
This 481-nucleotide ribosomal RNA is filed under the name uncultured bacterium. Its description in RNAcentral is "partial 16S ribosomal RNA". It matches the Rfam family "Bacterial small subunit ribosomal RNA", at positions 28 to 523 of the family's 1533-position model. The record is from RNAcentral.